ACGUAAUAGAUACCCUGGUAGUCCACGCCCUAAACGAUGUCUACUAGUUGUUGGUGGAGUAAAAUCCAUGAGUAAACGCAGCUAAACGCGUGAAGUAGACCGCCUGGGGAGUACGGUCGCAAGAUUAAAAACUCAAAGGAAUUGACGGGGGCCCGCACAAGCGGUGGAUUAUGUGGAUUAAAUUCGAUGCAACGCGAAAAACCUUACCUGGCCUUGACAUGCCACUAACGAAGCAGAGAUGCAUUAGGUGCCCGUAAGGGAAAGUGGACACAGGUGCUGCAUGGCUGUCGUCAGCUCGUGUCGUGAGAUGUUGGGUUAAGUCCCGCAACGAGCGCAACCCUUGCCAUUAAUUGCCAUCAUUUAGUUGGGCACUUUAAUGGGACUGCCGGUGACAAACCGGAGGAAGGUGGGGAUGACGUCAAGUCCUCAUGGCCCUUAUGGCCAGGGCUUCACACGUAAUACAAUGGUCGGUACAGAGAGUUGCCAACCCGCGAGGGGAGCUAAUCUCAGAAAGCGAUCGUAGUCCGGAUUGUUCUCUGC
RNAcentral lists this ribosomal RNA (540 nucleotides) under uncultured bacterium. Its description in RNAcentral is "bacterial SSU rRNA". It matches the Rfam family "Bacterial small subunit ribosomal RNA", at positions 774 to 1308 of the family's 1533-position model. The record is from RNAcentral.